GACGAACGCUGGCGGCGUGCUUAACACAUGCAAGUCGAACGGAAAGGCCCUGCUUGCAGGGUACUCGAGUGGCGAACGGGUGAGUAACACGUGGGUGAUCUGCCCUGCACUUCGGGAUAAGCCUGGGAAACUGGGUCUAAUACCGGAUAGGAGCCAUUUUUAGUGUGAUGGUUGGAAAGUUUUUUCGGUGUAGGAUGAGCUCGCGGCCUAUCAGCUUGUUGGUGGGGUAAUGGCCUACCAAGGCGGCGACGGGUAGCCGGCCUGAGAGGGUGGACGGCCACAUUGGGACUGAGAUACGGCCCAGGCUCCUACGGGAGGCAGAAGUGGGGAAGAUUGAACAAUGGGCGCAAGCCUGAUGCAGCGACGCCGCGUGGGGGAUGACGGCCUUCGGGUUGUAAACUCCUUUCGCUAGGGACGAAGCUUUUUGUGACGGUACCUAGAUAAGAAGCACCGGCUAACUACGUG
This 465-nucleotide ribosomal RNA is filed under the name uncultured bacterium. RNAcentral's name for it is "partial 16S ribosomal RNA". It matches the Rfam family "Bacterial small subunit ribosomal RNA", at positions 28 to 507 of the family's 1533-position model. The record is from RNAcentral.